Long non-coding RNA from Macadamia integrifolia, 959 nucleotides. RefSeq lists it as uncharacterized. The record is from RefSeq and is a predicted model, not a curated record. The transcript has 2 exons. Lineage: Eukaryota; Viridiplantae; Streptophyta; Magnoliopsida; Proteales; Proteaceae.
UUCAGUGACAAUGCUUUUCAUGACAAAAAGAUGUUCUGUUGCAGAGUUUUAAUGGUUUCCCAUUCUAUUAUUGCAGGAUUUACUGUUCUUACUCAACACAUCCAAAACGGAAUUGUGAGCCGAAGCAGCCAUCCUAACAUAAGAAUUCUCUGCGAUGGCCUCUUCAUAACAAUACGUCGCCUCUUUCUCCAUUCCUUUGAGCAAGUAUCCCUUCAUCAAGCUUCCGUAGGCGAUCCCAUCUGAGACAAACCCUAGCUUCUCUUUUAAUUCCUUGUACAGAGCUAAAACUCCAUUCGGAUCCGACUUCCUCACGAGCCCCGACUUGAGAUGAUUAUAGACAAUUGAGUCUCGAGCGAAACCCUUCUCGAACAUCUCAGUUUUCAGUUCUACAGCUUGAUCAAUCUUGUUGUUAUCCACAAGUCCCUUGGCAAGAAUGCGAUAAGUAGUAGGAGAAGGAUUAAAAGGGGCAUCAUAGCAGUGCCCUCAGUUCUAUCUCUUGUCAGCGAAGAGCUAUCGAAAUUGCCCCAAGACUACUUGAAUCGGUUGUGAGUCUUGCGACAGACCAAGCCACAAAUUCGGAGCUUUCUCCAUGUUUCUGAGGAUGUAUUAAAGGAAGCCGAAGCAAUCGAUCCAAAAAUCGAGCAGAACGAGAAAUUGGGUCUGUUGGCAGGUGAAGUGGCUGGAGUUAAAGAUAAUGUAUGCACUGUUGACAUGCAAUUGAGGGGUGCUCCCGGAUUCAGAAAAACUUCACAGGAGAGGGACAUAUCAAGGGCAGCCUCUGCGAGUGCUCGGUCAGCCCUCUCUGCCAAGCUAUGAUUUUUCUCUCUUCUUGCUUUUUCCACUGAAAUCAUUUUUUUGUUUUUCUAGUUGUUUAUGAUUUCUCUUUGAUUGAUUCCUGUGAUAUGUGAGAGAUGACGUUGGCUUCGUUUAGGGAUUCAUGCAUGGUUAUUCUAACUGAA